This 1434-nucleotide long non-coding RNA is filed under the name Homo sapiens (human). RNAcentral describes it as "non-protein coding lnc-BRF1-1:3". Lineage: Eukaryota; Metazoa; Chordata; Mammalia; Primates; Hominidae. The record is from RNAcentral.
UCCUCCUGAUGCUGGGGUCCUCCGGCAUUCCUCCCUGAGCCCCCCAAGGGCCCUGAAGCUCAGCGGCCCAGCCCUGGCCUCGGGGUCCCCACCCCACACCUCCCUUCCAGGCCUAACCUUUGCCCCCGACACCAGGCAGGGCGUGUCCUUGGCCUUCGCCGCCCAGCCCGCGUGGCAUCUCUGGACAGGUGGUCGUGCGCGCCUUGGUGUGGGCAGGCUCCGUAGCCGGCAAAGCCUCCCUGAACCGUGACCUGGUGAGAAGGCCGCAGAGGAGGUGCCUGUGCCCAGAGGCCACCUCCAAAGACCCCACCUGAGGCUGGAACCCAGCGCCUGCUGACCCCGCCAGCCCCAACAGGGCUGGAGUCCAGGAGCGGCCGUGCUCUUUCCGCAGUGAGGCAGCUGCCUUCUCUUCCCACCACCUGUCAGGAUGCCUUCCCGUGUGUGCUUGUGCACAGGUCUAAGGAGAGGAGAGUCCAGUGAGUGACCCAGACGCCCCAGCCAGGAAGAGCAUGAGGUGCGAAGGGGGCUUCCCAGAUGGAGAGAAACAGAUGGUCCCAGAGUGGCUUGGAGACAGGUGCAACAUCAGUGUUGGGGGAGGACAUGGAGCGGAGCGUUCAGGGCUAUCAGGAGGGAGCCCCGUGGCCACGGUGCAAGAUCUAGGCAGGCGGGACAGACAUGGUCAGGAUGCUGGGGACACAGCAUGGGGAAUCCAGCACACAGGACACCAUCCAGCAGGAAAGCAAAGCUGCAGCCUGAGAUCUCCUUCCACCAACUCCUGGCAUGGCCAGAAAGUUAGCCAGAAACACCAGAAAGUGCCAGGCAGCUAGGAAGCAUGGGGAGAGCCCCCUGAAGCUGCGUGUGUAGUGCCUGCUUCCGCUGCCAUCCCAGAAAUGGACGAGCUUCACCCUGAGAACCCAGCCACACCACUGGGACACAUCCUGACAGUGACAUGCACACUCUUCCCUGGCCCCAGCCUGGAGAGGAGCCUCCUGAAGACACCAGCCUUUGCUCCUUCUCCCAGUGGGAGUGGAGAGAACUGACUGCUGGAGUGGAGACAGUCAAGGCUGUCCUUCUGAGGGAGCACAGCACAGGGUCUGGUGUCCCAGGGAGGCAAUCUGAAAUUCAAGCCAGGCCUCCCCAGCGGAGAGGACACACCCCUCACCAUGCAGAGUGACGUUUAGUAAACUCUCAAAAGAGAGCACAGAGCCCCACUCCUCCAGCCGACCCAUACUCUGCCUCCCCACUCCAGACCAGUGAACAAGGUGGAUUGCCCUUAAGCCAGCUCAGAGGCAAAGUCCAAAGACCUCAGGUGAGUCAAACAAUAAAAACAAAGAAUUAAGAAGAAUCCAGCUGGGUGCGGUGGCUCACGCCUGUAAUCCCAGCACUUUGGGAGGCUGAGGCGGGAGGAUCACGAGCAGGAGGUCGAGACCAUCC